Molecule: long non-coding RNA, 41227 nt
Filed under: Jatropha curcas
Lineage: Eukaryota; Viridiplantae; Streptophyta; Magnoliopsida; Malpighiales; Euphorbiaceae
Description: long non-coding RNA (JCUR_LNC000399)
Rfam family: Plant small nucleolar RNA R71 (bases 29791-29897)
Source: RNAcentral
UCAGUUUAGAUAGGUAGAGUAUUUUAUUCAAUAGAGUAAAUUCAAUAAAUCAAAUACAUAAAAGAGGGAGUCAUGAUGGUAUUGACUAAAAAUUGGAAACUUUCAUAUCAAUACAUAAAUUUAUUAAUUAAAGCAAUACAGUACACAUAAAACAACUUUAAAGAAGAUGAAGUAAUGUAAUAUAAAUUAGGAGAAUUCGAUCUCAAAAUACCAUUUGGUGUGAUCCUUUGUUCCCCUUAAAAUCCAAUAUUUGACAAUUCAUCUUAGGCAGUCACGUUUGUAUCGGGGGCAUGCUUUUCGAGUACCAGGAUUUGAUACAGGAAGGCAGUAGCGGUUCCCCGGACGGCAAUCAAGAGCAGGACGGUUAGGAUUUCCCACGCCGCCAGUUGCGCUAUUGGUGCUAGCUGUAAGCAUUCUGUUAGUCUCGGAGUCCAUCAUCAACUCUAAUUCCAUGUUGGUAUCUGCCAUGGAAAAGGAAAAGGAGUUGUUGCUAAUCAUUUCCUGCGGAGUACUAACAGCUCCCAGACAACUGCUUCUGCUCAUCAGAAUCAAAAUCACCACCACCGCUAGAGAAAGACUCCUCAUUCUGCCUUUUUUUUUAGUACUAUUUUCUAGUGUCGGUGUUUAUUUCAUAUGAAAAUACAGCUGGGAAGAGAGCUCUAAAUAGUAAAGUGGUGGUUUUUUGACAUUGACUUAUUGGCUGCAUUCGAAAUUGCUCCACUUAAGAAAUUGAUUUGGACCAAGAGAUAAUGGAUAAUGAGUCCACCAUAUCCUUAUCUUUAAGAUUUUAUUUAAUGUAUUUAUGAGUGUAUUAUAACUAGUGUAAUUGAUUGGUGAAUAGAGUGAGUGAUUGAUCCCUUCAUGACUCUAUUUCACCCAUUUUCAUAACUUAGCAAUAAUAAUUAUUUGUGAGUGGUUGCCUAUAUCACGACAAUCAUAGAGGUAAAAUAUCAACAUUUCCUAAACAUUAUACAACUAGUUAUAUACGGCCUGCUCGUCGAGCGAAUAUUUAUUUAUUUUUUUUAUUAUUUGAAAAAAUAUUAAUAUUUAUUGGAAAAAAAUAAAAAUAUUAAUUAUGUAAUUAUUUUAUUUAAUAAUUUAAAAAUAAUAUUAAUGAUAUUAUUAAUUUAAUUAUUUAUUAUCAAAAGCUUAAACAUUUUAUUAUUUUAAAAGAAUAUUAAUGAUAUUAUUAAAUUUUUUAAACAAUUGAACAAUAUCAUUAAAAAUGGUAGAUCAUAUUAAUUCGAACUCAAAAUAACUUAAAAGAAAAUUAAAUUAUAAAACAAUUAAAAAAAUAAAAAAUAAAAAAUAAAAUGAAAAGGAAAAAUAGAUAUAAAUAAAAACUAAUUUCUAUAUUUCCGCUCUGGUACUUCACAUAUCAAUAUGCUAACUGUAGGACAACUCAAGGAGGUCUGAGUUCUUCCAUGUUGAGCUUGUUGAAGAUGGAUAGUGGCAUCACACUUAUAUCAGCUCCUAAAUCACAUAAAGCUUUAUCAAUCUUCACUGCUCCGACUUCCACACAAGAAGGAAAAACUUCCUUAAUCUUUCAUUUUUGGUGGCAGCUUAUUUUGGAUCAUUGCAUUACAAUUCUCAGAAAGUGCCACUAUUUCCAAUUCUUUUAUUUUCCAUUUCUUCGUCAAAAUUUCUUUCAAAAAUUUAGCUAUGUCGACAUCUGAGCUGAGGCGGUGCCAAAGCCAGUGAAGUGGGGUCAAUUGACCCACUCAACUUUUAAAAACAAUUUAUAAAUAGGACUUAAUUGAUAAAAAAAAUGAAAAGUAUAUAUUAAGUGAAAAAUUGUAGAGCUUUUAAUCUAAUUGACCCCACUACAAAUGAAAUUAAAUAAAUGGCCCAACUGAAAAUCAUUUCUAGCUCCGCCACUGCAUCUGGGUCAUGAUGUAUUAAAAUGGAAUGUUAACAUAUAAUUAUUUUAGCAUCUCCAAAAAUUUCUCAAAUUGCCUAUUUUGGUUCGUUUAUCAGAGUCACUAUGGAAUGAAAUAACUUCCUCUUAAAGCCUUUUAUUCUCCUUUGAAUAUUCUCUUCUUGUCUUUUCUUUCUUACUUCAUCGUCUUCAGCUGUUUCAUGGUACUUUCUAAUUGCCACCCAAAUACUCACGAUUUUUUUCACUUAAAUGGGUUGAUAGUCACAAGUAUAUAAGGUUAUUGCAAUACCGGAUAAAUCUCUUGUUUUGUAUUUGAAAAAAAUGGCAUCGAAUGUUACUUUUGUUUUCUACAUGCUUUUUUGGAAGUUUGUGUACCGCAAAGCCUAUAGUUAGUGCAUGGAGAUUUUCUCACACAUAGGUAGUAAAGAGUAGCUAGAGCCUCAGAAGAGGAUCGUGAUCUACAUCGAUAUUAGAGUUACUUUUCUUUUUGGGUAGAAGAUCUUAUUUCUUAUAAUAGAGUAGGACAAACUUAUAUUUGGAAUGUACAAAUGUUUAUUACAUAUAUAAGAGAUUUAUAAAGAAAAAUUUUGUAUGAGCUUACAUAUUGGAAAAACCUUUAAUAGAUUAUAUAUGGACGAUUUUUUGAAAGUGAUUUGUGAAGUUUAAGCUGAUCGAUUGAAUGUAGUUAUGUGGAGUUAAAAGUGGGAAGUUUUAGAAGUGUUUUAUUAACAAGUUAAAAAUCUCGAGGAUGUUAGGAUUUUAAAGAAAACUCUUGCAUUUUUUCCGUUAAAAUAUAAGUUAAGAAAUAUAAAAAUAUACAUGUUUUAGGAUAAUAAUGGUUAAGUUUGAGAUAUGAGUUAUUGAUUAUAGAUUUAGUGCUCUUAGCGCAAUAUGUGGUAUCUCUUAUUUGGACUAUUUAUCGACCCGAUGGUUUAUCUAUAAUCCGAAUAAAAGUGUUACACGAGAAGUAUGAGUUGAUUAUUUGAAAAUAGUUAUUUGAGGUUUAAGAUUUGAUAUUAUGUUAGCAUUUUCUAAGCAAGUUUAUAAAUUAGAAAUGUUAAGAUUAUAGGGGAAAUUCUUAUAGGUUUUUUGUAGAAAUUUUAUAUACGGUUAUUGCAUGUUAGUAAUGUUACUUUGUAAGUCAGAAUCAUAUAAUAGGAAGUUACAAAAUUAGUAUAUUUGGCAUAGCAUGCGGUGAUUUAUCAAAUGCAAUCAUGUUAGUAAUGACAGAGAAGUGGCUGUGGUAGCAGAUCGGAGAUGUUAAGAAAUGAGUAAAUACUGCAUGACAGAGAGUCCUGUGGUUUCUAUGCCAACCACAAAGCGUUUGACCAAUAUACGUCACGUCGUUGUUUCGUUAACCUGAGAAUUACAGUUACGAAUAAAAGAUCAAGCAUCGAAUAUCUCCAUCCAUAGCGAGACAUAAUUGCCACAUAAGCAUUGCAACGGCAGAGAGAAUGAAUACCACCACCCACAAUGAGAAUCAAUGCCAGCAAUUCUGGAUCUUACCUUCUCAGAACAUCCUCCCCCUCUUUGCCCAACCUCCCCCUGCCACUCGCUAUCUUCAUAUCAUAACGAUCUUUCCAAAACCAGUGGCUAUCCCAACCAUUCACGACAACAAAGCCGUCUUUUCUUGUCGCUAUUUCAUUUUGAUUUACUCUUGAUCAUUUAUCUACAAUCUCUCGAUCAUAUUAAUUUGCUUUCCUUUAAAUGCUCAUAUAUUUAUCUUCGUCAGUGGACAGAGCUCACUGCUGUAACAAAUAGCAGGACAACCCUUGGCUUUUAUCUCCAUCAAGUCAUCCCUUCACUGCACAAGGUCAUUGUUGCUUUCUUUCUCUACUACUCUUUUCUCACUGGUUAGGUUAAACAACUGAUUUAAUUAUUGCUGCUCUUACAUGGCUGCCAGGUGUGUGAUUCAAUUGAUUUGAUGAUGACUUUUUAUGUGGUCAGCUUGAAACUGACGCAAUAGUUGUAGCGAUUGAUUAUAAAGGCUGAGGUCAAUGCCAUCAACAUUUCUACCCACACGUGCCUGCAGAAUUAUCUGAAACAAAACACAAUACCAGUGUAUGUUAACAACAAAUUGAAAUGAGAGGAAUGGGUGGGGAGACAAGGAAGAGAGGGAGAGUCAAAGUGACCAGUGCAGCAAACCCAUGAAUGAAUUAUUUCAGUCUUACCUCAUUAUCAGAUUGAAUAUGCAGUUCACCGAUGAACUGGUAGAUGGAACCAAUUCGGAAGCUAAGGUUUCUCAAGUGUUGGGUGUCAAUCUUCAGAAUAGCAUUUCCAUCAACAAUUAUAGCUAUGGCAGUUUCCACAGAAUAUUCUUGUAACCUGCAGGAGAAACAAAAGAUUUUCUAACAUGUUGCAGCAUAAGAUAAUGAACUAACAAUAUAAAAGCGUAAAUUACACAUGGUUGAACUGCUAGACUCUCCUAAUAGGACAAACAUCCCAUAGAUGAAACUCACAAUGAAUGGAAGUCGCCAUUUGUUUCAAAUAAUUUAAUCUGUNNNNNNNNNNNNNNNNNNNNNNNNNNNNNNNNNNNNNNNNNNNNNNNNNNNNNNNNNNNNNNNNNNNNNNNNNNNNNNNNNNNNNNNNNNNNNNNNNNNNNNNNNNNNNNNNNNNNNNNNNNNNNNNNNNNNNNNNNNNNNNNNNNNNNNNNNNNNNNNNNNNNNNNNNNNAUUUAUCAGCCAUCAUUAGAUUUCUCUAACCUAAUACUAAUAUUUCUGGCAUGUAGUCGGUUCCUAUUAAAGUCAUGUGAAGGAAGACAAGGAUUUUUUGAUGUAGGUGCUGAUUUGAUGUGUAAUGUUCCUUGGACAAACAACUUCAAUACCUCAGAAUAUGUGUUAGGCAUACCCUUCAAAUCAAUUCUGUCCAACACUCUGCUGCAACGACCGAUGCCAUCGCUUAUUCCCCUUGCUGCAACAUUGCUCCCUUUUCCCAUAGAAUUACUACCACCUAUACCAUGCCACCAAAUCCCAUAAGAUCACGACUGCAAUUUGGCUCUUCCAAUUAUAAAUUUAUUAUCAUAAUCUAAACCUAUAUAGCAAGUGCAUUUGCCCCCAUGUCUCAUCUUUAUGACCAUGUCCUCUACCUCAUCCGAACCUUUGAGACUACCACCAACAAAUAACUUUUAGACUUUAGUUAUCACCAUAUCACCUCAAAAAGCCCUUCCUUGAGGUUCCUCUCCAAACAUAUCCAACAAAAAUAAAACCACAUUAUUAUCAAUAUCAUUACCCAACACACAAACUUCCAUCAUUAUUUUAAACCACCAUUUUCAUUUCAAUCUCACAUGUUUUCUCUCCAACAAAUAAAACCACCAAUACAGAUUCUCAAAUUAAUUACACUUUCUUCCAACAAGGGAAAACUGUCCAACUUCUAUGUUAGACUAUAUCUACUACAAGCAUUACAAAAAUCCUACAAGAACACAAAUAUCAAAAAUCACAGUACAAUGCAAUUGGGGAAGGAAUGUAACGAAGUAGGUAUAUAAUAGUUAAAUAAUAAUAAUAAUAAUAAUAAACUGAUACGAACAUUAGAAGGGCUUAAGACCUUACUUUCCAGUGAUUCUAAGUGAUGCUCCUUGCUUAAAGAAAGGUGAUGAUGGUUGCAAAUCUUUCAACAUCACCAAUUCCCCAUGUUUAAUUGCAGGAAGUGCCAUUAAACCAACACUACUCACCCCCAAAGGCAGCUGAAUUCUACCUGCAAAUUAAGGAAUACAAUGAUACAAAAGAAAAUACAAAAUGACCAACAUAUCUCAAAACACGAGUUAUACAUUGUAGAAAACCAAAAAACUUUCAUCAUUUACUUUCAGAACAACAAUGUAGGAAACCCAACAAAACCUCAGAAUUAAUACCAUUUCAAAAGCAUAGUCAAGCAAAUUUAUCCACAAACCACAAAUCACAUAAACUAUCUCAAAAUUAAGCAUUCAAAUUACCAUAAAUCACAUAAACUAAAUUAUGGCUGUCCCAACUCCUAAGAAUCCAUAUCAAAUAUAGUUGAAACAACAAACCCUAAGGAAUUGGCAAACAUUUAAAUCAAAUAAUUCGACAUCAACAAGUGAGUAAAAUAAUCAACUGAAAUAGACACAAUAACACUGAAAAGAAAGUUGUUAAUUUGCAAUUGAAGUUUACCCAUAUAUCAAAAGCAAUUCUAAGCAUUCGUUCAACUGAGAACGAAAGGAAGAGGGAGGAAGCAAAACGGAAAAAAAAAAAAAAAAUGAGAAUGAAAUCAAAAAAAAAUCAAGAACGAACCUGUGGCUGAAAAGCACUUGUACGCUUGAAGAGCACGAGCUGCGGAGGCGAUGGCCAGGAACGAAAGCAACGGGAAGGUAUCUGGCAGUAUAAGUGCAGAAACGAGCGGCGCAGGGAAGGGAGGGAGGAGAAAAUACGUUCGACUUGAGUUGAGUUUGAGAGAACUUUCCCUUUGUAUGAGUAAAUUCCAACCCUAGGCUAAAACGACGUGAUUUUGGUUCUGGAUUCAUUUAAACCUCCUACAUCAAAAUUACGUCGUUCGUCGUUUUGAUGGUAAAAUAAUCAUUUUUAUUAUUAUUAUUAUUAUUAUUAUUAAAGUUAUUAUUAUUCUUAAAGUUACUAGUGUUCAAGAACGUGUGAUACACGUUUUUACUCAUUGAACAUACCCGUAAAAUGAUUAUUUAUAAUUUAUUUUUUUUAUAUAUUUUUAUUAAUUUUUAUAAAGACAAUAUAAAAAUUCAAUAUUUUUAGUUACAAUUAUUAUAUGUAUAAAAAUAUAUAUGCAAACCACUAUCAUACAUAGUUAUAAUUAUUUGAUGAAAAAUUUUAAUAAUUGUUUAUAAUAGAUUUUUUGACAAAAUGGAAUAGUAACAAAGUUGAAAAUAAAUAACCAUUUGAUCCAAGAUUUUGUCAUACAUAAAAAUAAAUACAUAUAUAAAUUAUUAGUAAUCAAAUUUAAAAUUUUUUUUGCGAUAGCAUACCAAAAAAAAAAAAUAAAAAGUUAAAAUUAGGACCUUAGCCAUUAAUAACAAUACAGUCAGAAGCUUUCAAUAUAGCAAUAGCAAAGAAACUUAUAAUAGUAGAGAGUCUUUAAUGAAUUAUUGAUAAUAAAAGUAAAAAAUCUUUAAUAGUAGCCAAAGAAAAUAUAGUUAUUUGAUAAAUUAAAUUUUCAAUUGAGUUAUAAUUUAAACCUUUAUCCUUUAUUAUCAUAAUAAUAGAUGUAAUAUUAAAUCAAAGUAUAAUAAAUUUUUAAAUUAAAAAUAUGGAACAACUUAAAAAAAAAAAAAAGAAGUGUUAAAUAUUAAAAAAAUUACAAUCAUGAUUUAAAUAAAUUUUUAUAAAAAAAUUUAAUAAAUUUAUCCUAAUUUAAAAUUGAUAAAGAAAUUUAGAUUACGGAUAAAAUAAUUAAUACCUUCAAGAGAAUAAUAAGGCUAAAAGUAGCUAAUAAUAUUAACAAAGUAAACAAAAUGAAAUAUGAAGAAAAGAAAAUAAUUUCAAUUUAUAAUUUAUAAAUUUGAUUAUUUUUAGAUUUUUAUAUAAAAUACUUAAGUCAUUUUCUAAUAAAACUAUAAAUAUGAUUGAUUUAAUAUUGGAUUCAAUCAAAACUUCUAUAAUAAGAUUUUUAUUCCUAAUUAAGAUUGGAUAGAAAUUUUCAGUUACCUUUUCUAAUAUAUAUUUGAUUUAAUAUUAAUAAAACAUAUAUAUAGAGGAAGUUAUAAUUAUACUUAUCGCAAGAAUAAAAAAUGAUUGUAAAUUCAAUAAUUCCAAAUUAGCAAAACUUGAUAAAAUAACUUGAUAGUCAAAAGCAAUAAAUUCAUUAUAGUCAAGAGUAACAAAUUCUUGAUGGUCAAAACUCAAAAGCAAUAAAAACCAAACGUAUACAGUGGUAUGAUAGGAUAAAAUCCUAAUUAAAAUAGUAUUAAAGUUCAAAUUCCUAAUUAGAGUUGGAUUAAAUUUAUAAUAUUAAUAUAAUAAAAGUAAUAAAUUGAUAUCAUAAUUAGAAUAGAAUUAAAGUUAAAUUCCUAAUUAGUAGGGAUGGCAACAAGUGGGGUUCAAGUCGAGUAGUGCAAUACCCAUGCCCAAACUCAAUCUCAUCCUCAAUCCUCAUACCCUAUUGGGUAGGAUUGAAUGCUAUACCCAUUCCAAAAUCCAAUAGGUUUGGAUAUAUCCACAAGUAUCCAUUAUCCGUGGGUGCCCAUGCGUAUCCAUUAUCCACAGAUACCUAUUUAUCCACAGAUACCCAUUUAUCUACAAACUCAUAUUUUGUAAAAAUUAAAGUAUAUUGAAUUAAAAAAAUUAAAGUGUUUAUUUAGAUGGUUUAUAUAAUACAUAAAAAAUGUGAAAAUAAAUUAAUAUAUACAUGAAUGUUCUCAUAAUUGUAAAUUAAAAUUUUAAUUCCAAAGUUGUUCUUCUUGUCAUAAUACUUCACUCAAAUGUAAUAGUAGCAUACUCUUCAAGUGUAAUUAUAAUAAAAAUCAAUUAAUAGAAUAACUAAAAAUAUCAUAUAACAAAAUUAUUAAACGUAAAAUAUUAUUAUAUGAACACUCUAAAUCCCCUUUCAAAAAAAAAAAAAAAAACACACUCUAUAUCAUUAUUGUCAUUAUGAUUUUUAUCCAUUAUUUCAAAUUGAAGUUUAAAUUAAAUAUUAGAAAUUAAAUUUUAAAUUUCAAAAUCUAAAAUUUUAAAAAUUUGAUCAAUUCAAAUUCAUAAAUGAAAACUAGAGUGAAAUUAUUUUACACUAGACGACAUUAAAUCAAAAGUAAAAUUAUAAUUUAUAUAGAUAAUUUAUUACAAGUAACCCAAUUUAUUAAAACCUUCAUACUAUAAUUUUAAAAAAAUAUAUUAAAAUUUUAAAUCUCUGGGGUUUGAAUUUUGAGUGUAGGAUCGAGUUCGGGUUUAUAAUGCAAUAUCCAUACCCUACUUGUAUCCAAAAUAAAACUAUUGGAUUUUAACUAUAUCCUAUCCAAAACAAGUCAAAACCCUAAAAUUCGGGUUUUUGACUUGGUUCGGUUGGGUGCAUACCCAUCGGGUCGGGUUGAUUUUGUCAUCCCUAGUAAUUAGAAUGAGAUUAAAUUUAUAUUAUUAAUAAAAAAGAUCUACCAAUAAGGGAUUAAUAAAUUUAAAUAUCUUAUGUUAUAAUAUAUUUAAAUUAUAAGAUAUUAAAUCGUAGUAUUCUUAUAUGUAUAGAAAUUCCAAAAGUUUCCUAAUUAGAAAACGACUAAAUUAUUUUUAAUGAUAUUUUUAAUUAAUCAACUAAUAGAAUACCAAUAUAAUUAAGAGUUUUCUAAUUAUAAUAAGACUAAAUUAUUCUUCAAUCAACCAAGAAAAUUAAAAGUCUACAAGGGCGUUGUAGAAAUCCAAUGUUCCCCCUCUUUCGCACUUUUAUGUAUAGAUAUUUUGGAAUUCCUAUACAUGCAAAAAAAUUAUGAUUUAUUAUAUUAUAAUUGGACCAUUGAAAUUUCCACGGCUAUCUUACUUCCAUUGAAAUACUUGAAACUAAAAAAAUAAAAAAUAAAAGAUAUUAUCUUGAUAAAUAUUAAUCUUACAAUCCAAAUAAAAUUUAAAAUUUUAUUAAUAAAAUAUAAAAUAAAAGGAAGGAAGAAAAGAGAAAAGGAAGUGCAAGCAUACAAAGGAUGUGACAGAAAAGAGAUAUUGUUAUGUUCCAAAACCGUGGGCAGGACCAAUACUAGGGCCUGGCUGGGUUAAGGCCUCCUAGGCCCGUAGUAAGCCUAAAUCAGUUAAGCUCAAUCUUUUCACUGUUAUCGCUUGAGGCCAAAAACCAUAUUCUUAUAAUCAAGGCUCGAUUUGAUUAUGCACAAACGUAUUGAAAAUACAAAAUUAUAUAAUUAAUACAUAUAUCCACAUCAUUCAAUUACAACUACAAUUGCAGAACUCUAUAAUCUACAAUCUUUUACAUUUACAUGCUUAACACAACCAUUAAAAUUUUCUUUUAUUUGCCUAUCAACUCAUUAGGAUCCGUAGAGUUCUUCUUUCCUUCAGUUACCUAAAAAAAUAAAAGGCAGGGGUGAACGCCAAACUCAAUGAAUAAGGUUAGAUAACCCUCUCACUCCAUACAGUUACACAUAUGAUAAUCAUAUUAUACAAUCAGUAGCCCUCCGACUAGUUAUAAAAGAACAAGCAAGUAUGACACAGAGUCCUGUGGUUUCUACGCCAACCACAAAGCGUUUGACCAAUAUACGUCCCGUCGUUGUUUCGUUAACCUGAGAGUUACAGUUACGAAUAAAAGAUCAUGCAUCGAAUAUCACCAUCCAUAGCGAGACAUAAUUGCCACAUGAGCAUUGCAAUGGCAGAGAGAAUGAAUACCAUCACCAACAAUGAGAAUCAAUGCCAGCAAUUCUGGAACUUACCUUCUCAGAACAUCAUCUCCCUCUUUGUCCAAACUUCCCCUGCCACUCACUAUCUUCAUAUCAUAACGAUCUUACCAAAACCAGUGGCUAUCCCAACCAUUCACGACAACAAGGCCGUCUUUUCUUGUCGCUAUUUCAUUUUGAUUUACUCUUGAUCAUUUAUCUACAAUCUCUCCAUCAUAUUAAUUUGCUUUCCUUUAAAUGCUCAUAUAUUUAUGUUCGUCAGUGGACAGAGCUCACUGCUGUAGCAAACAGCAGGACAACCCUUGGCUUUUAUCUCCAUCAAGUCAUCUCUUCACUGCACAAGGUCAUUGUUGCUUUCUUUCUCUACUACUCUUUUCUCACUGGUUAGGUUAAACAACUGAUUUAAUUAUUGCUGCUCUUACAUGGCUGCCAGGUGUGUGAUUCAAUUGAUUUGAUGAUGACUUUUUAUGUGGUCAGCUUGAAACUGACGCAAUAGUUGUAGCGAUUGAUUAUAAAGGCUGAGGUCAAUGCCAUCAACAUUUCUACCCACACGUGCCUGCAGAAUUAUCUGAAACAAAACACAAUACCAGUGUAUGUUAACAACAAAUUGAAAUGAGAGGAAUGGGUGGGGAGACAAGGAAGAGAGGGAGAGUCAAAGUGACCAGUGCAGCAAACCCAUGAAUGAAUUAUUUCAGUCUUACCUCAUUAUCAGAUUGAAUAUGCAGUUCACCGAUGAACUGGUAGAUGGAACCAAUUCGGAAGCUAAGGUUUCUCAAGUGUUGAAACCGACACUAUCACACAACUGAUUACUUGCAACAUCCCGAAACCAACGAAGAUCAUCCAUCUGAGCUAACGCUUACUGUGACAGUGCUCGCAGCCACUGUCCCCAAGCCCUGUCAAUCACUCCUUCCGGCAAGGAAAAUAGCUUUUCACAGUAGGCUUCAUUGUGGCCCAGGCAUCCACACAAAAAAUAGAAAAUCGGCAACCUCUCAUACUUAAAAUUAAUAGUUUUCAUUGAGCCAUCACCAUGUCUCACCUUCUUCCACCUCUUCAACGGCUUCCUGUGUUCAAACGAACCCGAAUACACAUGUAUGAUCGCCAUGACCUAUAGUUGUUUAGAUCGUACUCUAAGAAAGUUCUGAUGAAAUCACCAAACUGUUUGCCUACAUCCUCAGGCAUAACCCCCAUUGGCAAAUCAUAGACUUGAACCCAAAAGGGAGUGAAGAAAAAUGGGAGACUCUUUGGAUCGUCCCCUCACAAACCUUCUCCAGUGAUAGAGUAAUAAGUUAAGAUAAUAUUUACAAUUUAUUUGUAUUUAAUAUUAGCUAUAUUUGUAACUGUCACUAAAAGAUAUACAUGUAAAUUGCAAUAUAUUGUACCUAUCAUACAAUACAGAAUACAAAAAAGGAUUCUCAAACGUGUAAACCUCCAGAUGGUAUCAGAGCUCUAAGGCUACACGGCAUCUUCUCAUCUUUCUUUCUGUAAUUUUGUAUUCCUUCUUCAUCUUUAUUCAAAAAAAAAAAAAAAAAGUAUGGGGACAGAGCCAGCUCUCACCUCUACUGUUUCUGCACCUGCUUCUUUUUCUUCUGUCCAAGCUCCCAAUAUAACUCAGUUCAUCUCUUUGAAAUUGACCUCAGCUAAUUAUUUGCUGUGGAAAUCCCAAAUUCUUCCCCUUUUGUAUGGGUAUCGACUUGCUGGUUAUAUCGAUGGAUCUAAGCCUGCUCCUUCUCAGUCGCUUGACAAUGGUGACCCCACCUCAGCGUAUAAUGAUUGGCUUUGUCAAGAUCAAAUAGUCAGAAGCUGGAUCAAUUGUUCCGUUUCUGAAUCCCUCUUAAAUCAGAUUGUGUGUUGUACUUCUGCCAAGGAGGCGUGGGAUAAGCUUGCUACGGUUUAUUCAACAGGCUCUCAAACAAGGGAUGGAGGCGAGUUGGACGAAUAAUGGCCUUUUACUCACUCAAAAUAAGUACAUACAGGACUUACUUGUUAAGGCUGGUAUGACUAAUUGUAAGGGCCUUUCCUCACCAGCCACUACAAAAGAAUCGACUACGGAUGCACAACAAACUCCCUUUUCCGAUCCUACACUCUAUCGAAGUAUAGUUGGUGGCCUGCAGUAUCUAAAUCUGACACGACCUGACGUAUGUUAUUCAGUUCAUAAAGUGUCACAAUUUCUUCAAGCACCGACCGAGGCUAACUGGUCUUCCGUCAAGCGAAUUUUAAGGUACUUGAAAGAUACUGCAACGUGUGGUUUAUUUUUCACCAAAUCCUUGACAACCAACUUGAAUGUUUAUUCUGACGCUGAUUGGGCGAGUAGUUUAGAUGAUCGCAAGUCUACCACAGGUUAUGCUAUCUUUAUGGGUUCUAAUCUCAUUUCAUGGAACUCCAAGAAACAACAAACUGUGGCAAAAUCAUCAACAGAAGCUGAAUAUAGGGCUAUCGGACUUGCCGUUACUGAAUUGUCAUGGGUCCAAGCUUUGAUGCGAGAUAUUGGUUAUAGUUCAACAGUCACACCGAAUUUAUGGUGUGACAACAUUGGUGCCACGUAUUUGUCAGCAAAUCCUGUAUUUCAUGCCCGUACUAAGCAUUUAGAAGUGGAUUUUCAUUUUGUCCGUGACAAAGUCAGUAAGCGAGAAUUACAGGUACAAUUUAUUUGUUCGAAAGAUCAACUAGCUGACAUUCUGACGAACCCUCUACCUCAGAUUAUGCCUUAAUGCACAGUUUGACAAUUCGAAGCUUCAUUCCGCAAGCUUGAAUUGAGGGGGCCUGAUAGAGUAAUAAGUUAAGAUAAUAUUUACAAUUUAUUUGUAUUUAAUAUUAGCUGUAUUUGUAACUGUCACUAAAAGAUAUACAUGUAAAUUGCUAUAUAUUGUACCUAUCAUACAAUACAGAAUACAAAAAAAGAAUUCUCAAACGUGUAAACCUCCAGAUCCAGCACCAAAAGAUGAUUAUUAAAAGACUAGGGCCCCCCAUUCCAAACCCUAUUUAGACCAACAAUGUGAAAAAACUGGAAAAGAAAAACUCGAUAGGCAACCUCACUAACAUGAAUACCCUUGCCAGGUCUCCAAAGAUUUGCCAUAGAAUCCUUCAUAGCUUCAUAAUUAACCUUUUGAUUCGUCAAUGGCCUCCCAACCAGACAGAGGUCAUAAUUGGGUUGUUCAGUCAAUUGGCUUCUGUAUUGCAACUGCAUCUUAGCUUCCUCAUCAUCUGAUGGCACAAGACUAGCUAUCGUUUCAUGCUCACCAUAAGCAGCACCAUGACUUUAGACGCCAUAGAUAAAAAAACUCAUGCACAAAGUAAGACACCCUCACAUGCAAGACAAAUAUGAAAAAGAAAAAAACCAUAACUUGAUUUGGCCCUAAUACAUAAAAGAAAAUUUCAAGCUUUAUUAAAGGUAAACUGGACAUUUUAUUACAACUAAAUGGAAAAAUUUAAUUGAAGAACUAUUUAUUUAAAUAGCUACAAAAUAAAAACAUUAUUUAAUUAUUUUUUUAGAAUAGAAGGCAUAAAAUAAUUAAUAUGAAAUUUUGAAAAUAUCAGCUCACUAACAUAGUAUAUAAUUGAGGCACGUGUAUAAAAAUGCAUAAAAUGAGAAUUGAACCCAACGUUAAUCAAACAUGCAGCCCUCUAAUCUAGAGUCAAACGUGCUACCAUUGCGCCACAAAUCCAUGCAUAUUAAAGUAAACAUUAUAAGAUUAAAGAUUAAUUACCACCCUAUUUAUUUGUAAAUUUUUUUCAAAUUUAAAUAAUUUAGAACAUUCUAAAUAUUUUUUUUAUGAAAAAUUGGGCUUUUUAUCCUUUUGGUGCAAAUUCAGGAGCAAAUUAUAUAAAAAGUUAAUUUUUAGGCAACCUGAACAUUACUCCAAGUUCAGGAAAUAAAUUUACGACUUUAGGAAGUCUAAACUCAACAUUAGACAGCCUAAAGUCCUCGAACUAUAAAUCUCUUAGUUGCAACCAUGCUGCCUAAAUUGAAUUUUAGGAAGCCUAAAAAUGAAAAAAAAAAAAAAAAGAAAAAAAAUCAAUAACUUUUGUUAUAAAAUUCUGUUUUCAAAUCCGUUUGAUCCGAUGGAAAUCAUAUUCAACCAAUUAUUCGAAAACAUGAAUUUUUAUGGCAAAACUAUUUAAAAAUAUUCGUUUUCAAAAAUAUUUUUCCACCCAAAUGCAAUAUUUUUAAAAUGUGUUUGUCCAAAGCUGAAAUUUUAUUUGAAAAUAAAUUGUCAAUUUUAAAAUGGUGAUCGACUCAAAUGAUUUUUCAAAUUAAAAUUGUAAGAUCAUCAAAUAUACUUAAGGUGAAUUCCUAGAAUUGAACCAUCAAUUAAUUAGAGCAAUACCUUAAAAGAAGAAAUUCUAAGAAACUUAUAAUUGAAUUGUAGGCUUCAAGUAGCUUGUAUUUGUAACUUGUAUUUGUAUUUGUAUAUUUAAAUUGGAUUUGUAUAAUUGAAUUAUAAGCUGUUGAUGUUAAUUUUCUUGAAUCAACCUGCUAAUCAACAAAUAGUAAUUAAAAUUAAUUAGCAGAAUAACAAUUAUUUGUUAUUAUGUAGGUUUUAUGUAGUGGGAUUGGAAAUUUUGUUUUUUUUUUUUAAAAAAAAAAAAAAAUUGUUUUCUACUAGAACUCGAAAUCUUUUUUUUUUUUUUCAUAAAAAGAGAAAAAUUCAAGAUAAAAUAAAUAGCAACGUGUAUAGAAACAACCAAAAUUUGAAAAUCUAUGCAAAGUACGAGUUCCAACUGGGAAAUGGAUAUCAAAAUAAUCCUAGAGAGUCAAUUUAUCGAGCUAAAAUAAAAUAAUAAUAAUAAUAAUAAUAAUUUGACUAAUUUUUAGAAGAAGCAAUACGUAAGGUUGACGUUAAUACCCUUCUUUGUUAUAACAGAUGGCCCUGCAGAAGACCCUGAGAUGAUCAAUACCAUAUUUAAGACAAACAGAAUUCUCAUAUCAUAACUCAAAACCCAUAAUAUAUGUCUCUUACCAAACAUGAUCUUGGUCAUCAUAUCUGUAGCGUGGUUGAAUUCCUGUUCGGAAAAGGAAGUAGAAAACAAAAUGCAAGCCUAUACAUGUUUUCCAGCUGGACACAUUAAACUUAAUUAAUGUUUCUUAUAUGUCAAAGUCAUGAAAUAUUAAAUUUUGUUUCUUCGAUGGUUAAUUCACAUCUGAGAGAAGGGUGAUUGCAUUUAUUGCGGUAUUUAAUUAUCUUCUACCGUCUCUUCCCUCGCUAACAUUUUGAUUAAAAAUAUAUAUUUUACGAACUUUUGUAUAUUUGGUUAAAUCUGAAAUUAGAUGUGGAAAAUGGCUUUUUAGAAAUAUAUUUUUAACCGUCUGCGUGAGAAAGCUAAGAAGAAAAAUAUCUUCUGCAGCCUUCAGCUAUCGAAGUAGGGGUGGCCACCACGGUUCCAGUUCCAAAACUGAACCGGAAACUGAGGGUUUCAGUUACAGUUUGAAACCGAAUCAGAACUGGUGAUUUCAGUUACGAUUUGAAAUUGAACGGUUACGGCUCCGGUUCUUUAACGGUUUCAAAAUCGAUGAUUCCAGCCAGUUCGAUCAGUUUUCCUGCGAAUCACAUAAUUAUAAAAUCAAAAAUUAAGGAAUAUUUUUUUAUUCGAAAUUUAAAACUUAAAUAUUUAUGAAAUACUUUUUAAAAAAAUUUAAGAAAAAAUUCAAAAAGGCUUGAAUUUAAUUUAAUUUUUUUUUUAAAAAAGCCUCAACUUAAUUUUUUUUUUUUUUAAAAAAAAAAUUAAGUUGUCUAUGUAUCCUCUUAGGGUUUAGAAGAAUCAAAGCUGACGUAGUUCUUACUUACCUUGUACCAAUAUCACCCUUUUAUCUUAGUCAUUAUUUUCACCGGUUGAUGUUUCCAUUGAGAACCCAUCAUAAAAAUUGUAUAAGUCUUCAUUUUCUUUGAUAAUCUCUUGUGCUCUUAGUUUGACUGUGGUCCAAUCAUCCACGCAUGAUUACACUUCUACUGAAUCAAGUAUUAUCCUAAAUCGAAUUUCAUCAAGUUUGUUUUCUCAUUGACUAAAAUCUUGUUCAACCGCAACAAUCGAGACUAGUGCUGCUAAAACUUAUUUUGCAAUUAGUGCAAAGGUUGGAAAUAUAUUGGCAUGACAACUCCAACAAUCUAAAAUCGGAAAGUUGUUACCUGCGAGUAACUAUUACCAAAUCAAGAACAAUGAUAAGAUAACUCUCAAGUUUAGGAAUAGAACGAGAACUGGAUCCCCUAUGUCUUUUUUGUCUUUGUAAUAAUAGAUGUUCAGCAACAUAUAUUUUUUGGUUGCCAAUGAUUGAUUAUGAACUUGAGAACAAUCAGAAGAAGUAGAUGAACCAGAAUAUUGAAUAAAUUCAGUAUAUAAAUCUAUAAUAUUUUUUUAACUUCAUUUAAUACUACAUUUACAUUAACACUAUCUUCUAUAUCAAGAUUUAAUAUUUCAUAAUAAAAAGUCAAAUAAUCAGAUAAAAUUUUAAAUUUACAUCUACGAUCAAAUACACAAGCAAUAAGAAAAAGGAAUGGUAUAUUUUUAAAAUAAACUAAUCAUUUUUGUUUUAUUAAUAAAACACAAUUUUUUAAUAAAAUAUCAUUUUCAAAUUCUGGAAAUGCACUAAUAAUAUUAAUGCAUAUAGGCAAAAAUAAAUGAGCUGUGAGAUUAUAAACCUCACUAAAAGCGUAUGUUACAUCAUUAAAAUUUUCAAAAUAUCCAAAAUUUUUGCACAAAUCUCUCAAUUUUAUAGAUAUAACUUAAUUUAUCCAACAUUGUUAGUAAAAAAUGUGCAAAAUAAUUCUCUAUAUGAAAAAGACUCGUUUAAUAAUUUAUAUAUUGUUGGACAUCUUUUGCAAAACGUUUUGGUCUUCUCUUAUUUUCCUUAUAAAAUUUAUUCCAACUUUUCAUUACUUGGAAUGUCUUGAUAAAUAUGAAAUAGAUUUUCUAAUUGGAGAAAUAAAUGAUUCAAAAACUUGUAAACCAUCUUGUACACAUAAAUUUAAAACAUGAUAUGCAUAUCUAAAAUGAAAAAAUUUUUCACCAACAUUUGGUUCAUAAAUUGCUUUAAGCUCAGUAAUUGAUUUAGUGUUGGCAAAGGAAUUAUCAAAUAAAAUUGAAAAUUUUUUUUUGGGUAAUUUAUAUUCAUCUAAAAUUGAAACAAUCAUUUUAUAUAUAUAUUAUUUGUGGUAUGUUUAUCAUCAAAAAUAUGACAUACAAUAAUUCUUUUUUGUAUUUUUCAAUCGUCAUCAAUCCAAUGACAUGUAAUACUUAUAUAAGAACGCAUUUGCCAAUAAUCAUUCCAAAUAUCACAACAAAUUGAAACAUGAAUUUUUACUUCAAAACAUAAAAGUUCUAACUCUCUUCUUCCUUUUUUUAUCUAGAGAAAUAACAGUUCGUUUUACAAUAUUUCUUGGAACUCUUUUUUUUUUUUUCUUUUGAUAGAGUAAAACUCAUAGCCUUUCAUUCAUUAUCAUUAAUCUCGGACAAACAAUGAGGAAUAUAAUUCCAGAUACGUAGAUGCGCAAAGCAAAUAGAAGCUCGAGCUAGGGUAUGAGCUUUUAAGUUCGCUUGCCUACGAAUCCAUCUACACAAAACCAAAGGGAGUUCUAAAAAAAAGUUCUCACAAUCAGAAAACAUACUCCCCCCAUCCGAUCUAAAUAAAAUAGAGGAGCUCAAAGCAAAAAAUGAAACCUGCGAGUCCAUGAAAAUAGUACCUCCACGCUCAACAUAAUUUUGCUUGAGAAAUAAUAAAAAACUACGAAGAGCUAGAGCCUCUGCAAUAAAAGGGUCCGUACCACCUGUAAAGUGGCCUGAAACUGCUCGAAUAAAAAUGCCUUCCUCUGUCUCCAUCACCACUCCAAAGCCUUGCAUGCCUUCUUGCUCAAAAACCACAAAAGCUUGCCAUGAUUGGUCUCCACUGUUGCUAAGAUGUCCGGGUUGAAAUAUUGCAAGCCUUUGCCGACUUGUAUUUGAGGAUGCACUAGCCAUGCUCCUUUGCGCCAACUUUGUAUGUUCCCAACUAAUCAUGUAUUCUUUUNNNNNNNNNNNNNNNNNNNNNNNNNNNNNNNNNNNNNNNNNNNNNNNNNNNNNNNNNNNNNNNNNNNNNNNNNNNNNNNNNNNNNNNNNNNNNNNNNNNNNNNNNNNNNNNNNNNNNNNNNNNNNNNNNAAAAAGAAGUUAGUAAAAGAAAUAUUUAUAUCACCUACUUCAUACCCCCCUUGCCUCCAAACUCCCUUAGCCUUACUACAUAACACUAUUGCAUGAUUAAUAUCCUCUUCCUCCCCACACCAAGGACAUCCAAUAUCAACCUCCACCCCUCUCCUUCUCAAUCUCUCCUUCGUAGGCAACACAUUCCUUAGAGCCCUCCACAUAAAAUCUUUGUCUUUAGGGGAAGCAUCUAAACCCCACAUCUUACCCCACCAUCCACCAUCCACCUUCCACCUCAUGCACCCUCCCCCUCAACAACCUCCUUGCCACGUAGUACCCCGACCUAACGCUAUAAAUGCCUUUUUUANNNNNNNNNNNNNNNNNNNNNNNGUUAAUACUAAUAGGAAUCCCUAAUAUAGCUCUAAACUCUCUCAAGCUAAAAAGAGUCAUCACCUUCCCCACAUCCCAUCUCCCUUCCCCCUCCACAAAAAGCUCCCUCACUUUCAUAUUAGGAUCAACAAAGUCCCUAGUGUCCUCCAUCCAAAAACUAUGAUCCAGAGGCAUCCACGGAUGUGAUAAUACACCGAUAGUUUCCCCAUUCCCUACUCUCCACCGUACCCCCUGUUUUAAUACCCCAAUAGCAACAUGAAUACUCCUCCACACAUAACUAGGACGCCUACCAAGAGGAGCAUCCAAAAAAUCCCUAUUAUGGAAAUAUUUGGCUUUGAAAAGUUUAGAAAAAAGAGCAUCGGGCUCCGUCAUAAGAUGCCACCCUUGCUUCACUAGCAUGGCCAUAUUAAAACAAUGAAGAUCCCUGAAACCCAUACCACAUUCCCUUUUGCUACAACACAUCCUCUCCCUCGCUAACCAAUGAAUCCCUCUACGCCCUCCUUUCUUCUCCCCCCACCAAUACUUGUUCAUCCUUUUUUGCAUCGCUUCACAUGUAGAAAGAGGUAUUUUAAACACACUCAUACAAUAAGUAGGAACAGCUUGCACAAUCGACUUAAUUAAUACCUCCUUUCCGACUCUAGAGAGGAAUCUGUUAGACCAAUUGCAAAUCCUUUUUUUCAAGUCUGUCCUGAAGGAAGCCAAACACCUGUUUUUUCGAUUUGCCAAUGAGAGAUGGAAGACCAAGAUAAGUACCCCCACCAAUUGAACCAGCAACAUUCAAAAUAGUAGAGAUAUUAGUCAUCAACUCUCUACUCAUAUUCGAGCUGAAAAAGAUACCCAAUUUGUUCAAAUUAAUGGCCUGACUCGAUGCUCUCUCAUAUUUCUUCAAAAUAUCAUUGACCUCCUCUGCUUCCUAUAAAGAACCCUCAAAAAAGAAAAAAGAAUCAUCCGCAAAUAGCAAGUGACAGUGAUUUUUGCAAGUGUACAAAUCACAACAAGUGAUAUAGAGUGAAAGAGUAUCGUAUCCAUAGGGAUUGUGUAUCAAGUACCAAAAUUUUGUUAACCUAUUAUUAUUUAAACGACAAUAAGAGAGAUUUGUUAUAAGGAAAGUAAAUUUGAAAAUUAAACAGAAAAUAUCAAGCAACAAAAUUUAGAUGAAAAGGAAUCAAGGAUUUAAAACUACUAGGGAAUUUGGUUUCACUUAAUUCUAUCCAAUUUAUUUUAUUAGUCUGUUAAUCAAUUUUAAUUGUUCAAGUAGGGGAAACAACCCUAGAAUCACUAACAAGCUCUCUCGAUGUAUUGUUGGCUAUUCUAAUCCGGUCUAAUUACCUAUCUUUCAAUAGCACAAUCAAACAUGAAUUAAAUCAUUAAGUUUUAUGGUUUGUUUUGUGAAUUCACAACCUAAGGUCAUUAACUUGUGAAAACCCCCCAUGAGUCAAACCGUAUAGCUUCCGCAUCAAGUUAUUGUUCUCAUGUAAUUUAUUAUCUUUUUUGUAUCAAAAACCCUUCUUCCGAUAGUGAUUAAUAAAAUAAUUCAAUCCAGGGGAAUAAACUCUGCCUGGAAGCUUUACGUUCAAUAAUAAAGUAUAGCAAGAAUAAGGAAAAGCAAAUCUAAUAAUAUAAUUUGGAAUCGAAUUAAAUUACAUCAAAUCCCUAGCUUAGGAGUUUAGCUAGACAUAGUAAUUAAAUAAAACUCAAUAAUACUUGAAUAAAUCUUCAUAAUCAGUAAUGAACAAUGAAAAUAAAAACAAGAUUAAGAGUUUAGAGAUAAAAACUAGGCAACAACUAUGUAGAUGACUUCCUUGAAUCUUUGCACAAAUCUUGGAUGCUUGAGGUCUUUUAGAGAAAGAGAAUUAUGUAGAAAAUUAUUGAAAUUCGAGAUGCCUCAUAAUGAGAAGCUCUCCUCUUUAUAUAGACCUUCUGGAGAGAAAUCUGACUUUGUUUAGGAAACAGAAUCCUAAUUAAGUACAAAAUCUUCUUUAGGAGAUCAUGACUGUUUAAGCUUUGGAUUUCUUCUUAGUUAGGACUCUUUUCUCUUCCUAAAUAGGUUUAGAUCUUGUUUAGCACGUUUAAGAAAAUAUCCGAGGCGGGCCCAUGUGAGAAAAAGAUUGGCUCGCAUUUUUAGCUUAAGACAACUCUGCCUUCAUAGCACGGGCGUGCCAUAUAGCACAACUUGGGCAUGCUAGAGUCUGGAACUAUGAAUGGUUGAGCACAGGCCAUGCUAUGCAACACGCUCAGAGGAGUCCUUGUGGCACGGGCGUGCCAUUUAGCACAGGUAAGGCGUGCUUGGCUCUGUCCUUCGAAGAUGGAUUUCAUCAUGGGCGUGCUAGGCAAGCACGCCUUGAGUUUCUUUUGGGCACGGGCGUGCCAUUUAGCACGGUCUAGCCGUGCUAUCCCCUGACUUUCCACUUGAUUUUCUUUAGCUUUAGCACGGGCGUGCUAAAAUGCACGGGAUGGGCGUGCUCAAGCCUGAGUAUUUUACUUUGUAAUGCUCUUUUCUGUGCCAAAACCCUGCAAAUUUCUUUCAGAUCAAGUGGAUUAUGAUUCAAAGAAGCUUUCAACAAAAUUAUAAUAAAAACGAAGUAAAAAUAAACUAAAGUGAUAAAUUUUACUAAAAUUCUAAAUAAAAACUAUACUAAAAAAUACUAUAAUUGUGACACCUAUCAAAAUUCCCCAAACUGAAACCAUUGCUUGUCCUCAAGCAACAAAACUAAAAGUAGGAGAACAAAAUAAUCUGACAAAACUAGCUUGCUAUGGUUGGUGAUAAUUAUAAACUCCAAAAGAUAUCACAGUUGUUAAUAUGUGAAUAAAUCAAUUGUUUUCCAUGCUAAUUAUAUUUAAGCGAAAAUUCACUAUUUUUGAUAAAACACAUUCCUUGAUUUAAACAUAAGUUAAAAGGAUUUUCAACACUAAUAUAUAUUCAACUUAUGAUAAAUAUGUUAUGAAUAAUCUACAAAAAUUAUUUAACCUUUUUAAAUAAGAUUUUUAAUAGUUUUAAAUUUAGCAUUCCCAUAUGCAAAAAUUAGUCAUCCCUUCUCCACAAUUGAAAUGCAUAUGAUUUUAAAAGAUCAAAAGGUCUUUAUUUUGGGUUGUAAUGGGGUUUUCGGGGUAUAAUUUUAGCUGAUCAAAGAAAAGGGAUAAAAGAUAGACAAAGGGUGCAAAAGAAUGUAUAAUAUCCUGAUUUCCAUUCUAUCAAAACCAUUUGUUUUAAGGGAGUUUCUGUCUUGAAAUUCUUUACUAGCUUGUGAUAUAGAGAUAUUUUGGCAAGGUCUUUUUGUAAUAUUUUGCUAAUUUCUUCUUUGCACUUAAAUUCCCUAACUUGAAUUCUUUGAUUGAUUGCUUUUUCUAUGGGGUAUUUCUCUUUUGAUAUUUCUUACUUGGUACACUUGCUAGUGUCCAUGAAAUUUUCUCCCUUUUGUCGCUAUGUUUUAAUGAAAGCCAAAUCCUUCAAUUAUACAUUAUUGCACUCAGGGUAAGAAUUGAAAUUGGUUUAAUGGCUAGGUUUAAUAAGGGUGAACAAGAAAAUUUUAUAGGCUUCAAAAUUGGUUGCAAAAGUCAUAUUUUNNNNNNNNNNNNNNNNNNNNAAAUAUGAAGUUCAACAAAGAAUGUCUAAAUCAUCUCUUUCUAAAUGUAAGCAUUUAAAAUUUUUGCCUCAAAGGGAGUUCUAAUUUGUUCUAGGAAUGCCAAGGUUAUAUAAGUUUAGAUUAAACAUGCCUAUAUAUCAUAAAUUUCAUAAAAAUUAGUGUUUAUAAUCUUAGAAACAUAUAGUUAAAUCAAUGAAUCAUGUUAAGUCAAAAAUUUCAAAUUUAGAACUUAAGUAUACUAGAAUAGAAAAUCAACUAAAUUCAUCACAUAUUACUAAUUCGUGACAACCUUCAAGCCUGCUUAUAAUCAUUCUAACCAUGUUAAGCAAAAAUAAAAUUUUAGCUAAAAUUUCCUUCCCCCAAUUUAAUCAAACACAUUGUCCCCAAUGUGUACAAAAUAAAUUGAUUUCCCCAAACUUAUUGCAUUAACAGAAGAAAAGAGAUAAGAAAGUGGAGUAAACAUUACCAAAAUUGUAUUGAAAAAUACAAUAGAGCUGGGUGCUGGAACAUGUCAUAGCUAAAAGUCCAAAAUAAACAUUAAGAGAAAAAAACUACUAAAGAUAUAAUAGUCAAAGUAAAAUCAAAAGAAAAAUUCAACACAAAACAAUCAAUGUAUGGGAAUAAAAUCAAAACAGGAAGAACAAAUAAAGAGUCAAAAUCCAUCAAGGCUCCGGUGGUGGAGGUGGAUGCGGUUGUUAGAGCUGGAUAACAGUCUGGAGUUGGCCUUGCAAUGUAUCCAUACGAGACUCGAGGCUCCCAUGCAUAAUCUCGAUGGAUUGGAAACGGUCUACAAUCAUAAAUUCCAUCCCGUUAAGGCAUGUGUCAAAUAUGUUCAUUCGAGACAUCAUCCUCGCAAGGACUUCAUCGUUGGACAUGCUUGACGCUCCUUGAAAGGAUGGACCAGCACCGAAAGUACCUGCACCAAAAGAAGAACCAAAAGGCGGCGGAUUAUCCUCCUCCACAUCAGCACCACCUGCUGCCUCGGCUUCCUCAUCGUCAGAACUGUCCUCUCAAGCACCUACUACCCGAUAAGCAUCUCCAACCUUUUCGAUCAAUUUCAUGUGGAUCAUGACAUCCAAAUCUAAUCUGGUAACCUUCCCCCCUCCAACACUAUCAUAGAUUGGUCUAGCCGGGUUCCAGACUCGAAAAUACGCAGCAAUGCGGGUCACAAAACACCCUAUCAUGAUAGCCCCUUUAUCUGCUCUAGCCACCUUUGCACAUCUUUGGCAUAGCCAAUACCCAACAUUAAGCAAAACUCCCUGUUCAAUCGCCUAUAUAAAGUAUAAUACAUUCAAGCCUAAAACUUCAUCACUUUCACUCCUUCCAAAAAUAGUGUUAGACAAGAAUGUGUGAAUCUGCCUUAGGGCAGGAUUUCUUAGUUUGGAUGCCUUUGAAUACCUAGGGUUGUAAUUAAUUUCAUCGGUCAAGUCUUUCCAUUAUUGCGUUCAUGAAAAUCCUUAGAUAUUUGGAUUUGAGCGUUUUCCGUGGGGAAUCCAAAAAUAUGGCUAACUUCAUUCACAGAUAAAUCAAAAGUUCUACCAAGAAGCCUAAAGUGAAUUUUGCUUGGGGGAGAGGUAGGCAAAAAUCGAAUGAAAGAGGAAUAAGAACUCAAAAAUUCUAAAGUUAAAGGUGCAUAAACUAGAUCCUUCAUCUCAAUAAACUAUCCCCAUCCUAUAUGCCUAAGUGGUUCUAUCACAGCAUCUCGAAGACCGACUUGCGCUAAGGAAUUUUCAUCAAUGAAUUUAUUGGGAAAAAUAGAGCGAAGGGAUAGUUUAUUGUACCUCUCUUGUUGCUCAGGUGAAGCGAUCUCAAAUGGAGGAGGAGUAGGCGUCGAAGGAGGUGGAAUCGGUAGAGGAGUAGUGGAGGGUCAAGCGAUUGGCCGUUGUCUAGCGGCAACCGAGGAAGCGGGUCUGCUACGCUUGUAUCGAGGAGGCAUGGUGAAGGAGAACGGUGUAAAAAUUUGGUAUGUAGUGUGUUUGAUUUGAGAGAAAAGGGAGAAAAAGAGAGAAAAUUAAAGAGAAAAUUGGGAGAGGAGAGGUUGACGGCUAGGGCGUGCGAGAGGGAAGUGAGGGUUGGUUAGGGCAUGCGCUUUAAAUAGAGGCGCCAUUUAAUGCGCACGUCUGGUCGUGGCACGGGUGUGCUCCUUGGUACGGGCGUGCUCCUUGGCACGGCCAGACCGUGCGCGCUAAUCUUGUUUGGAGGCGGUUAGGGCACGGGCAUGCUAGAGGACACGCUUGGGGCUGGAGGACACGCUUGAGGCGUGCUUGCUUUUGUCCUGCAACAGAAAAAAAAUGAAGCAUACCUGGCACGGUUAGGGCAUGCUCGCCUCUAACUCUCAAAGCAAAAUUUCCCUUCGGAUCGCACGGGCGUGCUACUGGACACGCCUGGGGCGUGCUUGCCUCUGACUCUCAAAGUGGUUUUUCUCCAUUCAUGAGGCACGGGCGUGCUGUGGUGCACGGUCAGGGUGUGCCCGCCUCUGACUCUCUAAGCAAAAUUGGUUUUUAUGGCACACGGGCGUGUCCUGGGACACAGUCUGGGCAUGCUUAGCUAUCAUAUCAUGGCACAGGCGUGCCAUUUAGCACGUCCAGGGCGUGCUGACCUGUGGAUUUUAACUUGAUCCUGAAAAAUUCUGACUAAAGCAAAAGAACAAUUAUGGCGAAAAUUUGGGAAAUUUUAUAAUAGAAAUAAUAGAAAUAAAAUGGAAACAAUAAUUGGAAAAAGAAAGAAAACAACAUGGGUUGUCUACCACAAGCGCUUUUGUUUUAACGUCGUUUAAGCUCGAUGUACUCAACCUAGUUUAGGUCAGACGAGACUGAUGGUAUUCUUGAUAGGAUCAAAGUUGUCAUUUUGAUAAACUUUUAAUCUUUGAGCAUUAACUUUGAAACUUCGAUUAGACUUACCAUCCACUAUUUUGAUGCCUCAUGUGGAAAAAUCUCUUUAAUUGUGAAUGGACCAGACCAUCUGAAGUGCAAUUUACAAGGAAAAAGGUGGAGUCUGGAGUUAUAGAGCAAUACCUGUUGGCCUACUUUUAGAUUCCUCAUGAUAAUGUGCUUAUCGUGCCAUUGUUUGGUGAAAUCCUUAUAUAUUUUGGUGCUCUCAUAAGCAUGGAGGUGCAUUUUAUCCAUCAUAUUCAAUUGUAGCAACCGUUUUUGACCAGCCUCUUUUGCAUUGAAGUUAAGAAAUUGAAUUGCCCAAAAUGCCUUAUGCUCUAAUUCAACAGGAAGAUGACAAGUCUUACCGUAAACCAUGCAAUAUGGAGACAUACCGAUUGGUGUCUUGAAUGCAGUUCUGUAAGCCCAUAGAGCAUCAUCUAGCUUCUUGGACCAGUCCUUCCUUGAUUGUCCAACAGUUGUCUCCAGGAUCUUCUUGAUUUCUCUGUUGGUAACCUCUACUUGUCCACUUGUUUGAGGAUGAUAUGGAGUGCCUACACGAUGAGUAACACCAUAUUUUGCAAGAAGGGAAUCUAAAUAUUUGUUGCAAAAGUGCUUACCUCCGUCCGUGAUUAUUGCUCUAGGAGUGCCAUGACGUGUAAAAAUAUACUUCUUGAUAAACUUCAUUACACUCUUGGCAUCAUUGUUUGGAAGAGCAACAGCUUCUGCCCACUUUGAUACAUAGUCCAUCGCAACUAGAAUGUAUUGGUUGGAGUAUGAUGAUGGAAAAGGCCCCAUGAAGUCCAUACCACAAACAUCGAAGAUUUCGACUUCAAGGAUGCUAUUUAAGGGCAUCUCAUGUCUCUUCGAAAUGUUACCUAGUCUUUGACAGCGAUCACAAAGGCGAACAAAGUUAAAGGCAUCUUUAAACAGGUUACGCCAAUACAAACCGCUUUCUAAUAUACGUGCUACUGUCUUGUUUGCUCCAAAGUGUCCUCCACAUUCCAUUGAAUGGCAAAAUUUAAGAACACUUUCCAUCUCUGUUUACGGUAUGCAUCACCGGAAUAGCUGAUCACUAUAAUAUUUGAACAGAAAGGGCUCCUCCCAAUAGUAGUAUUUGAUAUCAUGGAAGAAUUUUUUCUUUUGUUGAUAGGAAAAGUUGGGAGGGGGAAUUUUGCAAACAAGGUAGUUGACUAUAUCAGCAUACCAGGGGGUUUGUGUAUUUGCCAACAGUAGAAGUUGCUCAUGGGGAAGGUUCUCAUUGAUUUGUAACUCUGUUGUAUCUUCUUCCCCCAAUUCCAGCCUGGAAAGGUGGUCAGCCACAAGAUUUUUGGUUCCCUUUUUGUCGAGAAUUUUCAGAUCAAAUUCCUGCAAUCAAGGCACCCAACGAAUUAGUCUCGGUUUUGCAUCUUUCUUUUCUAGCAAAUAUUUGAUNNNNNNNNNNNNNNNNNNNNNNNNNNNNNNNNNNNNNNNNNNNNNNNNNNNNNNNNNNNNNNNNNNNNNNNNNNNNNNNNNNNNNNNNNNNNNNNNNNNNNNNNNNNNNNNNNNNNNNNNNNNNNNNNNNNNNNNNNNNNNNNNNNNNNNNNNNNNNNNNNNNNNNNNNNNNAACAGCUCCAAUAGCAUGAUCACUAGCAUCACACAUAAGCUCAAAAGGAAGAGUCCAAUCUGGUGUAGUAAUGAUAGGUGCUGAGAUCAACUCCUUCUUUAACCUAUUAAAAGCAUUCAAACACUCUUUGUCAAAAUUAAAAGGAACAUCUUUAAUUAAUAAAUUACAAAGAGGUUUUGUGAUUUUUGAGAAGUCUUUGAUGAAUCUCUUGUAGAAUCCUACAUGACCAAAAAAAAUUUCUUAUUCCCUUCACUGAGUUAGGGGGAGGUAGUUUUUUAAUUACCUCGAUUUUUGCUUUGUCUACUUCAAUCCCCUUUUGAGAGAUCUUAUGNNNNNNNNNNNNNNNNNNNNNNNNNNNNNNNNNNNNNNNNNNNNNNNNNNNNNNNNNNNNNNNNNNNNNNNNNNNNNNNNNNNNNNNNNNNNNNNNNNNNNNNNNNNNNNNNNNNNNNNNNNNNNNNNNNNNNNNNNNNNNNNNNNNNNNNNNNNNNNNNNNNNNNNNNNNNNNNNNNNNNNNNNNNNNNNNNNNNNNNNNNNNNNNNNNNNNNNNNNNNNNNNNNNNNNNNNNNNNNNNNNNNNNNNNNNNNNNNNNNNNNNNNNNNNNNNNNNNNNNNNNNNNNNNNNNNNNNNNNNNNNNNNNNNNNNNNNNNNNNNNNNNNNNNNNNNNNNNNNNNNNNNNNNNNNNNNNNNNNNNNNNNNNNNNNNNNNNNNNNNNNNNNNNNNNNNNNNNNNNNNNNNNNNNNNNNNNNNNNNNNNNNNNNNNNNNNNNNNNNNNNNNNNNNNNNNNNNNNNNNNNNNNNNNNNNNNNNNNNNNNNNNNNNNNNNNNNNNNNNNNNNNNNNNNNNNNNNNNNNNNNNNNNNNNNNNNNNNNNNNNNNNNNNNNNNNNNNNNNNNNNNNNNNNNNNNNNNNNNNNNNNNNNNNNNNNNNNNNNNNNNNNNNNNNNNNNNNNNNNNNNNNNNNNNNNNNNNNNNNNNNNNNNNNNNNNNNNNNNNNNNNNNNNNNNNNNNNNNNNNNNNNNNNNNNNNNNNNNNNNNNNNNNNNNNNNNNNNNNNNNNNNNNNNNNNNNNNNNNNNNNNNNNNNNNNNNNNNNNNNNNNNNNNNNNNNNNNNNNNNNNNNNNNNNNNNNNNNNNNNNNNNNNNNNNNNNNNNNNNNNNNNNNNNNNNNNNNNNNNNNNNNNNNNNNNNNNNNNNNNNNNNNNNNNNNNNNNNNNNNNNNNNNNNNNNNNNNNNNNCAGGCUUGCAGUCUUCUUCCAUCAGGAUCUUAUGCAUGCAUAUACUCGGGCUUAUCCCUUGUAGGUCUGAAAUUGACCACCCUAGUGCUUUCUUGUGCUUUCGAAAAACCUGCAACAACCUUUCCUCUUGAUCAAGCGUUAAGUGAGAAGAAAUAAUAACAGGAAAAGAAUGAUUCUCACCUAAGAAUGCAUGUUUUAAAUGAGGUGGAAGUUGUUUCAGUUCUUGUUUUGGAGGUUCACUUUCUUUCUCAUUCAUGGUGUUUGAUUCAUUAAUGUCAUCUUUAGUAUGCAAAGUGGUUUCCACACAUUCAUCAACAACAUCAAUUCGAAAGCAAUCAUUAUAGUCCAUANNNNNNNNNNCGAUUUAAGAACAUCAAAGACAAUCUCUUCCUGUCCAACCCUUAAAGUUAAUUUACCUUCGUAAACAUCAAUAAAUGCUCUUGCAGUUGCAAGAAAAGGCCUCCCAAGGAUUAGAGAUCCUUCCCUNNNNNNNNNNUCAAUGUCAAGAAUAACAAAAUCAACAGGAAAGAUGAAUGUACCUACCUUUACAAGCACAUCUUCUACAAUUCCUCUAGGAUAUUUGAUCGAUCGAUCCACUAAUUGUAGAGACAUCCUUGUUGGUUUGAAUUCUCCCAUACUUAGCAUCUUAAAAACUUCAUAAAAUAUAAGAUUAAUGCUAGCACCUAAAUCUACCAAAGCUUUUUCAAAGUCAAGAUUACCAAUAUUGCAAGGGAUAGAAAAACUUCCUGGGUCAUUCAACUUUGGAGGCAGUUUAUUUUGGAUAAUCACACUGCAUUCCUAAGUUAACAUUACCGUUCCUUGAUCAUCGAUUUUUCAUUUCUUGCUUAGGAUAUCUUUUAGGAAUUUCGCAUAGUUAGGCAUUAGAGCAAGAGCUUCAGCAAAAGGAAUGUUGAUUUGAAGCUUUUUGAAUACAUCCAUAAACUUUAGGAAGCUCUUGUCAUCUUGUGCUUUCUUUAACCUUUGUAGGAAGGGGACAGGUGGAACAUAGGGUUUUACUUUUUCUUGUUCUUCUAGGUCAAUAAUGGGGACCUUUGGCUGUUCUUCCACGUCCUUUUCUUUCUUUGGUGGCUCUUCUAUUUGUUUGCCACUUCUCAGCGUGAUAGCCUAUACCUGCUCUUUAGGAUUCUUUUCAGUGUUGCUAGGUAAUGUACCUUAAGGUCGAGAUGCCAUCAUGUGUGCAAAUUAUCCUAGCUGAAUCUCCAGAUUUCUUAUCGCCGCCUGUUGGAUUUUAUGGUUUUCUCUAAUUUCAUUCAUGAAAUCCAUAUGUGAUUUAGAAAGAGCAGUGAGGAGGUCAUCAUAAGAUUUCUUCUCUUGAGGAAGGAAACCUGGUGUUGUGUUCAAGGCAUUGUUAGGAUUUCCAUAGGAUAGAUUAGGACGGUUCCUCAAUCUAUUAUCGUAUGAAUUGGAGUAUGGGUAAUUUUUUCUUCCUUGAUUCAUCACAUAGUUUACUUACUCCAAGGAUUGUGGAUUCAAAGAGUCUAUCAUGCAUUCUCCAAUCCCAUAUUGUCCAUUGCACCUAUCACAAACUUGCAUAAUAGAAUUUACAGGAUUGGUAGUUAACAGGUCCAGUUUUCUUACCAUGUUAUCUACCUUGGCAUUAAGUGCUGUGAUAGCAUCUAUUUCAUAGACUCCUGCAGUUCUCUUCCUUUUGAAAUUGUUUUGGUAAUUGCUGUUGCUUGCCAUCUCCUCUAUCAAUUCAUAUGCCUCAUCAAUUCCCUUCUUCUCAAAGGAUCCUCCUGCAGCUACAUCUAAAGUGAUUUUGAUAUUAGGAGAUAAUGCAUUAUAGAAAGUUUGUACCUGUGAGCACUUAGGCAAACUAUGAUGUGGGCACUUUCUUAACAAGUCCUUGAAUCUUUCCCAAGCUUCAUACAAGCUCUCUUGAUCAUGGUGACCAAAUGUCAUUAUCUCAUUGCGCAGUUUUGUGGUUUUUGAAUAUGGGAAGAAUUUUGCUAAGAACCUUUGGGCUAAUUCUUCCCAUGUUGUGAAACUUCCAGCGGGGCAUGAUUGUAACCAAGACCGCGCCUUGUCCCUAAUAGUGAAAGGAAAAAGUCUUAAUUUAAUUGCAUCUUCGGAAACACUAUUCUAUUUGAAAGUAUCACAAAUUUCCAGGAAAUUUGUGAUAUGAGCAUUUGGAUCUUCACUAGGCAAACCCCCAUAUUGGAUUGAGGUGGAAAGCAUUUGGAUAAUUGCGGUUUAAUUUCAAAAUUAUUAGCUUCCACCCUAGAUCUUAUAAUACUCGAGGUUGUCCCAUUAAGAUUAGGUGUUGUGUAGUCUCGCAAGGUGCGAAUUGGAUGUUGAGGUGGAGGUCCAUUCAUGUUCUCGUUUUUGUUCUCGUUGACCAUGUCUACUUGUUGUUCGGGUUUUAUUUCACGUGCUCUUCUUGCAGCAUUGUUCCUAUGAUAAGUUCUUUCAAUUUUUGGAUCAAAGACUAGAGGUUCAGUCCUUCUUGAUCUUCUUUGCAUAAACACCUGAAAAUAAUUCUUAGAAGAAAAGAUAAAUUUAAAACAAAAGAAUGUCUAAAUUAACAAUAGGGUAAUUAGUAUUGAUAUUGACAACGGCAAUCCCCGGCAAUGGCGCCAAGAACUUGAAAGUAAUUUUCGCAAGUGUACAAAUCGCAACAAGUGAUAUAGAGUGAAAGAGUAUCGUAUCCACAGGGAUUGUGUAUCAAGUACCAGAAUUUUGUUAACCGAUUAUUAUUUAAACGACAAUAAGAGAGAUUUGUUAUAAGGAAAGUAAAUUCGAAAAUUAAACAGAAAACAUCAAGCAACAAAAUUUAGAUGAAAGGGAAUCAAGGAUUUAAAACUACUAGGGAAUUUGAUUUCACUUAAUUCUAUCCAAUUUAUUUUAUUAGUCUGUUAAUCAAUUUUAAUUGUUCAAGUAGGGGAAACAACCCUAGAAUCACUAACAAGCUCUCUCGAUGUAUUGUUAGCUAUUCUAAUCCGGUCUAAUUACCUAUCUUUCAAUAGCGCAAUCAAACAUGAAUUAAAUCAUUAAGUUUUAUGGUUUGUUUUGUGAAUUCACAACCUAAGGUCAUUAACUUGUGAAAAUCCCCCAUGAGUCAAACCGUAUAGCUUCCGCAUCAAGUUAUUGUUCUCAUAUAAUUUAUUAUCUUUUUCGUAUCAAAAACCCUUCUCCCGAUAGUGAUUAAUAAAAUAAUUCAACCCAGGGGAAUAACUCUGCCUGGAAUCUUUAAGUUCAAUAAUAAAUUAUAGCAAGAACAAGGAAAAGCAAAUCUAAUAUUAUAAAUUGGAAUCGAAUUAAAUUACGUCAAAUCCCUAGCUUAGGAGUUUAGCUAGACAUAGUAAUUAAAUAAAACUCAAUAAUAAUUGAAUAAAUCUUCAUAAUCAGUAAUGAACAAUGAAAAUAAAAACAAGAUUAACAGUUUAGAGAGAAAAACUAGGCAACAACUAUGUAGAUGACUUCCUUGAAUCUUGGUACAAAUCUUGGAUGCUUAAGGUAUUUUAGAGAGAGAGAAUUAUGUAGAAAAUUAUUGAAAUUCGAGAUGCCUCACAAUGAGAAGCUCUCCUCUUUAUAUAGACCUUCUGGAGAGAAAUCAGACUCUGUUUAGGAAACAAAAUCCUAGUUAAGUACAAAAUCUUCUUUAGGAGAUCAUGACUGUUUAGGCUUUGGAUUUCUACUUAGUUAGGACUCUUUUCUCUUCCUAAAUAGGUUUAGAUCUUGUUUAGCACGUUUAGGAAAAUAUCUGAGGCGGGCCCAUGUGAGAAAAAGAUUGGCUCGCGUUUUUAGCUCAAGUCAGCUCUGCCUUCAUAGCAAGGGCGUGCCAUAUAGCACGGCUUGGGCGUGCUAGAGUCUAGAACUAUGAAUGGUUGAGCACAGGUCGUGCUAUGCAACACACUCAGAGGAGUCCUUGUGGCACGGGCGUGCCAUUUAGCAUGGGUAAGGCGUGCUUGGCUCUGUCCUUCGAAGAUGGAUUUCAUCAUGGGCGUGCUAGGCAAGCACGCCCUGAGUUUCUUUUGGGCACGGGCGUGCCAUUUAGCACGGUCUAGCCGUGCUAUCCCCUGACUUUCCACUUGAUUUUCUUUAGCUUUAGCAUGGGAUGGGCAUGCUCAAGCCUGAGUAUUUUACUUUGUAAUGCUCUUUUCUGUGCCAAAACCCUACAAAUUUCUUUCAGAUCAAGUGGAUUAUGAUUCAAGGAAGCUUUCAACAAAAUUAUAAUAAAAACGAAGUAAAAAUAAACUAAAGUGAUAAAUUUUACUAAAAUUCUAAAUAAAAACUAUACCACAAAAUACUAUAAUUGUGACACCUAUCAGCAAGUGUGUGAUGCUCGGAUAAUUCCUUCCCACCUUCACACCUUGCAAUCUACCUCUCCUUUUAGCAUCCUGAAAUAAUAAAGACAAACCCUCCGCACAGAAUAAAAACAAGUAAGGCGACAAAGGAUCGCCCUGUCUCAAACCUCUACCAGGACGAAUAGGGCCCACCUCCUUACCAUUCAAUAACACAGAGUACUUCACAUCAGUUACACAUAACAUCAUCCACUUCACCCACUUCUCACAAAAACCCAUUCUCAGCAUCAUACCCCUCAAAAACUCCCAAUUAACCCUGUCGUAUGCUUUUGAAAUAUCAAUUUUUAAAGCACAAGCACCCCCUUGAUUCUUCUUACUUUUGAUGUUAUGAAUUAAUUCAAAAGCCACCACCACAUUAUCAGAAAUUAACCUCCCAGGAACGAAUGCGGAUUGACAUUCAUCAAUAAUUAAAGGAAGAAUUUUUUUUCAACCUAUUCACUAAAGAUUUUGCUACAAUUUUAUACAAAACAUUACAAAGCGAAAUAGGUCUAUACUCUUUUAACGACUUAGGAUUAUCACAUUUAGGAAGCAACACAAUAUGGGUAUCUGUCAAAGUCUUUGGGAAGGUACCAGUGUCAAGCCAUUGUUUGCAGUCCUUCCAAAUAUCAUCUCCAAUCACAUGCCAAAAUUUUUGAAAGAACGUCGAAUUUAUGCCAUCUGGUCCAGGUGAUUUGUCAGGUUGUAUAUCAAAUGCAGCUUCUCUGAUCUCAUCCAACGUAAAUGGAGCCGUAAGAAUAUUGUUCUGGAUAGCUGUCACCUUUGGUUGAACAAAAUUAAAAAUUUCAAUGCAAACUGAUUCUUCUGCACUAUAAACAGUGGAAAAAUAAUUCAAUGUAAGUUGUUCCAAACUAUCAUUAUCUGUAACUAUCUCGCCAUCCUCAUUUUCCAACUUCAUAAUUUUAUCUCUCCUUUUUCUAGUCUUUAUUGAAGCAUGUAAAUAUUUGGUGUUUUGGUCCGCACAAGAAAGCCAUCUCUGUUUCCCUAUUUGUCUCAUUCGGCACUCUUCUUUGAAUAGAAUAAUAUUCCAUUCAUUUUUUAGUCGUUGAACAUUGACAUCAUCAAACCCAUCUCUUGCCUCUUCUAUACGUUGCUUUAAUACCCUUUUUAAAACUUUUAGUAGAAUGAUUUAAAACUUUUUGACAAUAUUGAUUAAACUCAUUUUUUCACCAAAACUAAAAGAUAUAUAUUCCAUAGAAAUCAUUUUAGCUAAUUCUUUUUUUUAAAUUUUUUUUUAGAAUAUUGAAAUAAGGAAACGUUAGAAGAUUUGUAUCCGAAAAUUUGUGUUUGAGCUCGAUCAACUCAUAUUUUGUCAGAUGUUUUGCCUCCAAAUGCUUCCAAAAUGAUCCACAACCACCCGCUUGUUUAUGUUUGUAAGAUGCUCCACAAUAAUCAAAUUACAUAAAAAAUUUAUCGCUUUUAAAUUUCUUCGUGAAAUGAAUAGCUAAUAUGUUGAAACUUUGUCUUGGUCGUCGAACAACUUAUGUACCUUGACUUCUUCUUGUCGUAAGUUGCCUUCAUCAUUAAAUUCGGUUAUAGAGUAAUAUAGAGUAGAGAGUAGUAGAGUGUAGAGAGAUAAUUUUGUGUAAAGUGAUUAUAAAUUAAAAAGGGGUAUUUAUAGUAAAUCCAAAAAAUCAACUUUUCAAAAAUACCCUUAAAACUAGUCAUUAUAUAGCCAUCUAUAGUUGUUAGGAGGGUAAAUUUGGGGAUUUCACAAAAAUAUUUGAAAAAAUUAAAAAAAGCUUUACACUUAAAUAUUCAAAUUUUUUUGGAACUGCUAGAUCGAAUAGUCGAUUCUAACCAGAUGGAAAAAUCGCCGGUUCCGACCAGUUCACAGUUCCUCAUAAAUUGGAAUUAGAAUCGGACCGCAGACCCUCGAUUUUGGUUCCUCACGUUUCGAUUUUGGUUCCCACUGAUUCCAAACCGGCGGUUUUGAUUUUGAAAACCUUGAAAUGGCUACCCCUAUAUUGAACUGAAGGCCAAUAAAGAAUAGGCUCUCCAAUACUAGAAAUUCAUCCAACCUUAAAACUUACGAUUUUGUUUAGUAAUUCUAAAUGAAGUACAAUGUAAUAUCAUUAAAAUUAGAGAGACUAGUGACUAAUGUGUCUCUCCAAAUGUAUGAUGGCCUCAGUUUUAGGUAUGGUUUGAUUAGAGACUCAACCAGAGCUUUCUUGAACGGUUAAGAGCUUGUUAUGGAAAGUCUUCUAUUUUUGGAGCUGAGUUAUGGUCUAUCUUUGAGGGUUUCACACUGCUUUAUUUCAGAGGUUUAACCAUAUUCUUAUGUAAUAGACAUCCAUUUAUAUUAAUGACUAAACUGUAAUAUGCCAAGGACUUAAGUUGUAAUAAGAACUGGGGAAAUUGAUAACUUGUCAAGAUAGACUUGGAUAUUAGGAGAUUUUCUCUCCUAAUAUCUCGCUCAGUUUGGUAUAUGCCACCAAUCAUGUAUCUUUCCAUAUAAACCAGUCUUUAAGGCCACGGGAAGAUUAAUGUCAUUAUUAUCAAUAUAAUUAUUUGUAGAGAAAUCAAUCAUUCAUUCAAUUAUUGUUGUGAUAAUUUUAACAAAAUCAAAUUGGUGCAGUGAGCGUGGAACACACCUCACAUUUCUCAGUUUGAGAAAAACCUCAUUUUUUAACAAAAAUAUAUAUAAGACAAUUUCAAGCAUUUGAACAAUCACCAACGCAGAUAGAUGAACCCCCACAGCUGGAGCUAACGAGACUGGUAGGACUAAACCUUCAAUUGGCCCAAUUGCUCAGGCUCUUCUAAUUUCGCUUUAUUGGAACCUUAAGCCACUAUGAUGCUAGCCUAAGCACACAAUAACUUUAUAGUUGUGCUAUAACGAUCGAUGGCCACUUCAGGACCCCUGGUGUUGCAAGUAUCCACGGAUGAUCUGAUAACGUGAAGGCGUGGCAAUGUUGCUAUGGAGGAAGGAGUUGCUGUAGACAAGCAAAUAAUGGAUAUGCCCCAGGACACCGAAUCAUCUUGGUGUUCUGAUACUUAGAAAGAAUGAUAACACAUUGUGCAAUCCAUUUGGGAAACCUCUACAACAUCACUGAGGAUGACUUCCAAACAAGAACCCUUCAAGUCCUCCAAGUUAAAAUUGCAAAGGAUAAUACUGAUUAUGGGCUAAGAAACAAUUCCCCCCUCAAACAUCAUGCCAGUAAACUUUCCACCAAAAUUGAAGAUGCUUAUCUUUAAGACAUAUGAUGGAACAACUGAAUCGAGGAGUCAACUAGCUAAUUUUAAAAUAGUGAUGCGUAUCCAGACCAGUGUGGAUGCAUUGCUAUGCUUAACUUAAGAUUGGUUCCAGAUACUAAAGAAAAGAUCAAUCAAUUCCUUUCACACCUAGUUGCCUCAUUCAAAGCUUAGUUUAUCACCUAUAUACGGAGCAAGAAGAUCUCAUCAGUCCUUAUUAAUCUUAAGAGAAUAGAGGAUGAGUCAUUGAGACAUUGCCUAUCCAUAUUCCAAAAGCUGGGUAUAAAAGUGGAAGAUCUAAACUCUAAAUCGCCUUUAGUUCCAUGGCAAAAACUAUAAGUAUGGUAAACUAUUUGACUCCCUUAAUAUUGAUCAACCAUAUUCUUUUUCAGAGUUGAUGGCGAUGGUGAAUAACUUUGCAAGACUAGACAAGGCCUGGAGGGCUCGGCAAGCCCAAGCCAAAGGCACCAAGGAAAAGAGAAGGAAAAAAAAUAAAAUAAAAGGAGGUCGCCAUCAAGUCUAGCAAACUGAGUCAUUCAAGUAUGAGUUAUUCCGCUUGUACCCCAUAUUCAAGAGUUAGAGACUAUAAUAAGAGAGGAAGAUUUCAGUCCCUUAGUUAGGAGCAGCUCAACCAUAUCGAGGAGUAUGCAGAAGAAAAAGGAUGAGAUCCAAAUUAACUAUCCUAAGAAAUUGAGAGAGGAGUCAGCAGCUUACAGUGACUACCUAAAUUAUACACAUAGAUAUCCAAGCCAGACUUGAAAAAUCCACCAAAACAGACUUGAAUUGGACGAACCAAAAUUAGUGUGAAAUCGACAGGCAAGUUACAUUAAUUCGCCCAUAAUUCUCUCUACAAAAUGAAUUUUAAGGCAAGGAACCGACAAAAACUAGACAGCAAAACUUUCCAACAGUAUAUCACAGGCAAAAAUUGAAGCUAAAACGAGCCAUGAACCGACUAAAUCAAGUGAAGGAUCAUACCGAGGUAGAAAAGACCAACUGGCUGAUCAACAUAGUCUGACCAAUGCUCAAGGUCGGUCGGUCGACCCUGAUUGCUGGUCAACCCCAGUUGGCUAGGUUUGACUAUUGUGAACACCUAAAUUCUAUACUCUGGAUAUCCAAACCAGACCUAAAAAUUCAUCAAAUUGGACAUAAAUCAAACGAACCAAAAUCUGGGCAAAAACAGACCGACAAUUUGCAUUGAUUCAGCCAUAAUCCUUUUCAAAGUGGGAAUUUCAAGAAAAGGUUAGUGUCAAUGGAAGCUAGACUAGAAGAAUUUUUCAACAGUAUAUUACAGGCCGAAAUUGGAAUUGAAUUGGGCCUCGAACGAAACGAAUCCAAACGAAAAAAAGACUGUAAAAGCCGAAAAUUGCACUAGACUGGCGGCUAGUUGCUUGGCUGUGGUGCUCUGGCGAGGUCCUAAGAGACAUAAUUUUCUUCUCUUAACUUUUAUCAUGAGGAUGUAAGACCUCAAACUGUCAAAUUUCAAGUUUAAAUUUUAAAUUCGCUAUUCCUAAAUUUGGUAUUAAAUUAAUAAAUUGGGAUGAUUAUUUCAACACUGAAUAGUAUAUCUAAUUAAUCCUAAAAUAGACAAUGAUAAAUUUUUGACUUAAACGAAUUGGUUAUAUAAGGAUGUUAAAAAUAAAAAUUUUAAUUAAUAAACCAAGUUUUAGCUAAACAUAAUCUCUUGGUUAUUGUUAUUACUAUAGCUAAUUAGAUUAUCGAACUAUUGAGUAAUGCAUGCUUAAGAAUACUAAUUUAGGAUUAGUAAAUUAAUUAGUAUGCUUUAUAGUGGAAGAAUAUGUGUGCAUAUACUAUACAUAGACUGUGAAUGUCCAUAUAAUUCUUUCUUUUUCUUUCAUUCUUUCAUUUAUAAAUUGUUAUGAGGUAUUAAAAUGUUGGUGACAAAGUUGAGUUGGAUUAGAAACUGAAUUGAUAUCCUACUAUUUGGGGAGAUGCUAUCCAAUUUUGAAAAUAUUUAUAGAUAACUAUUUUAGUUAUAUAUAUUCCAUAGACCUUAAUUACCAAGAGAACUAGAAGCUUCAUUACUGUUAUCAUUGUUAUAACUAAAGAAUCUGGUAGGUGACACAGGUAAUAGUUAUGAAUUAGAAUAAAUAAAGAAAUAAAGAAAAUUGUAAUUGAAUAGUUUGAUAAGUGAAGGUAAAUAACUAUAGUGAUUGUAACUAGUUAAUGAAUUAGAACUAAAUUUCUCGAGUUAGAAAUUUUUACUUAGAAUUUCCUUUCUACAUGCUUAUAGAGUUCUAGAAUGGCACGUCGAUAGCUUGAAAUGGGCAGUAAUAAAGAUAGUAUUGUUAGGACAAUAAUAAACUGUGAGUAGAGUUAGAUAAUCCUCAUUGCUUAUGCAUUGUACAUUCAUGCAUAUAUAAAUAAUACUUUAACUAUGUAAAAUAUGCAUACAUAUAGAAAUUACAUAUAGCUAUGUAUUUCAUGUUUUGUACCGAAUAUAUAUUUAUAUAUUACAAUAUAUGGGUAUGCUUUAUACUAUGUUCUCUGUUGAAUAUGUGAAAUUCUGUGAUUGGAUAUGAUUUGUUUUUGUUGUGCCGUGGAGUUAGAAUAAUGUGGGUCAUCUUGGGGUGAGAGCAUGAGUAUAUAUAUGGUGAGAAUACUAUCAGUGAGCUGUAAGCGGAUGGAGUGGCACCUCCUGUGCACUCCUCGAUUUUGAUGCACAUCAAUGAUAAAAAAACAUUAUAUAAGUGCCCGAUAAGGUCUACUCCUUAAGUGCACUUGACACAAAGAUUGGUAGAUUUACUAAUUCCAGAACAUUAUAUAAAGCAUGCUUUGGGGGUGAGCAUGAUCCUUAUUUAUAAAGGGACACUGCAGACUAAUAUGUAUUGUUUGAUCACUUGAACUCUUGUGAAUUAUUUGAUACGUACGCAUUCAUACUCGCUUGUUCAUUCAUGAAUAGCAGGACGGCUGUAAAUAAAUUAUUAUAUUAUUCAUAUGUCUGAUCAUGUGAGAAGGUUAUUUAACCCUACUCAUUGAGUUUAGGCACGCAACUCUGCCGUAAUAUUUUUUUAAGCUUUAAGAAGAAAAAGAGUCCUAUGGAAGCAAAUAGAUUGAACUACUGACGAACAAAAAUAUUAAUGGAUGUAUAGUUUUAUUGAGUACAAAUGCAUGUAGGAAAGAUUGUUAUUUAUAGAGUCCCGCAAUUGUAUUCCAAGUGUGUUGUAAUUAAAAGAUACAUAUGCAUUUAUUAUAUAAAUUAUAUUUAUGAAAUGUAUGUAAAUUAUUAGAUUAAGUCUACUAAGCUUUUGAACUGGAUUAUUGAAUGGUUGAAAUGACCUAACAACUUUGUUUUGAGAUUAUUUAUGAUGGGCCUAAGGCCUAGUUUGAUGACAAGUUAUAAAUCCAUUUAGGUUCAUGCUUACUGUGUGCUUUGGAGGCCUUAUGUUCACCCAGGUUCUAAUAACAAUCUGGUCCUUGAAAACAGAUCGUUACAUUAACUCUCUUUGUGUUUUCAAAAUAUUUUUCAUGACACAAAAAAAAAAAAAAUGUAAUUUAAUAGUUGAUGAAGCAUUAACUUAAUAAUAGAAAAACGAAAAGGAAAAUAGGAAAAAAAAAUGCUCCCUCCAUUCUAUUUAUAUAGAAAAAAAUUUCCUUUUUGGGCAUUCUAUUUAUGUAGAGAAAAUUUCUUAAUAUGGUAACUUUGGGACUAAUACCAAAGCAAAAAGUCGAAUAUGCCCUUAUUUUGGUUUAUAGAUUAAAUAUUGACUUUAAGAAUAUUUCAAGAAAGUGGCAGACAUUAUUGUGGUUGACAUUUAAUGUUAAAAAAUUGACUGAAUCAUGCAUUAAGAAAAUGUCAAAUUCAAGUCUAUUAUGUGCACAGAUUAAAUUUCACCAAAAAGCUUAUGCUUAACUUUUAAGUGUGCAUAUAUAAUGAAAUUUACUCAUAACUCUAAUAAAUCCUGAAUGGAGGAAAAUUUCCUCUCAAACGACUGUGCUAAAAUAAAAAUAGUUGUGCCAAUUUAUAUUUACUCCGAUGAACUCCUUAAUUGGCUAAAAAGAGAGAUACAGAACUUAAACCCUAAUUUCAUUGCUUAAAUAAAACUAGUUGUGCGCAUUUUUGCAUUAUGUCAAAUUCUAUAAAUUGUUUUAGCAGAUAUAGAUACAACAUCUGCAACUUUAUCAAUACUGCGAGCAUUUGAUUCUUCCCUUUCUGUUUCAGAACACAGUAACAUACAAACUGUAUUUUUCACAUCUACAAUGAUGUUUUUCCUUUUGUUGCUCUUUUCGGGCCUCUUUUGGAACGUUAAUUGGUAGUAGUGUGGUUUCGGAUUUUACAGAAAGCGGUUGUUCAGUGUAUGGUAAGGAGAUCAAGUCUAAGUGUUGAUUGUUGAGCAUGGGCACAUCUUCUGAAGUUGCAAGCAAGUUUUGAGAGACUGUAUUCAAAUCAAAAGGAAGGAAUGUGUCCAUGACGUUUGUGAAUUAAAUUUUAGCUUUGUGAACUCAUUCCUAUUUAGAUGAAUUCAGCUUUGAAAAUUUUGGCUCUAACUUUCAUUUUUUUCGCUUAAAUUUGGAGAAGCAAAAUAAAGAAUUUAAGGUUGAAAAUUUUGGCUAUGAACUUUCUUUCAACUUUCACUUCAAUUUUUUUAAUCAAAAUUUGAUAUUAAAAUUUUAAUGCGCAAUUGCAAUUAAACGGCCCACGUUUUUUUUUUUUUUUUGUUAUCAGAAGUUUAAAAAAAUAAAACGCCUUAUUUAAGCAACAGAUCCUUUCUCUCAUCAUUUAUCACGUUUUAUUGAAAAUUGGGGACCACUUUAAUAUCUUUUUAGGGGUAAAUUAAAAAAAAAUCCACAAAAAGAUCACAUCCUUAAUCCUAGAUAAAUUUUGACUUUCUCUAUAUAAAUAGAAUGGAGGAAGAAUUAAUCAAUACUCAAUAGAAAAAAUUUUCCGUUUGUUUUAUAAAUAAUAGGAAGAAGUUAAAAAUAAAAUUUAUUUUUUUAUAAAUUAAAAUUGAAUAGAAUUUUAUUUGACAAUAUUAACUAUUUUAGUAACUUUUAACUAAUUUUUAGCUAAAUAUUUAUAGAUGCCCCACCCAUGAACAUAAAUAACAGUGAGUACAUUCAUUUUAGAUAGGUCGAGUAUUUUAUUCAAUAAACCAAAUACACGAAAGAGGGAGUCAUGAUGGUAUUGACUAAAAAUUGGAAACUUUCAUAUCAAUACAUAAAUUUAUCAAUUAAAGCAAUACAGUACACAUAAAACAACUUUAAAGAAGAUGAAGUAAUGUAAUAUAAAUUAGGAGAAUUCGAUCUCAAAAUACCAUUUGGUGUGAUCCUUCGUUCCCCUUAAAAUCCAAUAUUUGACAAUUCAUUUUGGGCACUGAUUAAGGUCACGUUGGUAUGAGUUGCAUCGUGGAGGAUUUUUACGACUUUUACGUGGAAGGCAGUAGCGUUUCCCCCGACCGCAAUCAAGAGUAGAACGGCGUUUUCCCGUUACGCCAGUUACAACUUUGGUGCUAGCUGCAAGCAUUCUGUUAGUCUCGGAGUCCAUCAUCAACUCUAAUUCCAUGUUGGUGUCUGCCAUGGAAAAGGAAAAGGAGUUGCUGCUAAUCAUUUCCUGCGGAGUACUGACAGCUCGCAGACAACUGCUUCUGCUCAUCAGAAUCAAAAUCCCCACCACCGCUAGAGAAAGACUCCUCAUUCUGCCUUUUUUUUUUUUGUACUAUUUUCUAGUGUCGGUGUUUAUUUCAUAUGCAAAUACAGCUGUGGGGAGAGCUCUAAAUAGCAAAUUGGUGGUUUUUUGAC